Molecule: ribosomal RNA, 467 nt
Filed under: uncultured bacterium
Lineage: Bacteria
Description: partial 16S ribosomal RNA
Rfam family: Bacterial small subunit ribosomal RNA
Source: RNAcentral
GACGAACGCUGGCGGCGUGCUUAACACAUGCAAGUCGAACGGAAAGGCCCUGCUUUUGUGGGGUGCUCGAGUGGCGAACGGGUGAGUAACACGUGAGUAACCUGCCCUUGACUUUGGGAUAACUUCAGGAAACUGGGGCUAAUACCGGAUAGGAGCUCCUGCUCCAUGGUGGGGGUUGGAAAGUUUCGGCGGUUGGGGAUGUACUCGCGGCUUAUCCGCUGUAUGGUGGGGUAGUGGAUUACAAAGGCUUGGACGGGUAGCCAGCCUGAGAGGGUGACCGGCCACAGUGGGACUGGGAGAGGGCCCAGACGGCUACGGGAGGCAGGAGUGGGGAAUAGUGCACAAUGGGCGGAAGCCUGAAGCAGGAACGCCGCGUGCGGGAUGACGGCCUUCGGGUUGGAAACCGCUUUCGACUGUGACGAAGCGUGAGUGACGGUAAUGGGUAAAGAAGCACCGGCUAACUACGU